UCUAGCUAAAUGCACAGAUGUAAUGUAGGCUAACGGUUGGCCUUCGUUCUAUGACCUGGUGAAGGAGGAGUCAGUCACUGUAACAGACGAUUUCGCCUACGGGAUGCACAGAGUUGAGACCAGCUGUAGUCAGUGUGGUUCUCACCUCGGACACCUGUUUGAUGAUGGCCCCAGACCCACAGGGAAACGAUACUGCAUCAACUCUGCCUCUCUGGGCUUCAGUCCGCCUCAGCCUCCAGCCCACCCAGCAACGGAGCUGGGGCUGGGGCAGGAGC
Molecule: long non-coding RNA, 275 nt
Organism: Oncorhynchus keta (chum salmon)
Lineage: Eukaryota; Metazoa; Chordata; Actinopteri; Salmoniformes; Salmonidae
Exons: 3
Source: RefSeq, a predicted model, not a curated record